Molecule: ribosomal RNA, 259 nt
Filed under: Blastocystis sp.
Lineage: Eukaryota; Bigyra; Opalinata; Blastocystidae
Description: partial small subunit ribosomal RNA
Rfam family: Eukaryotic small subunit ribosomal RNA
Source: RNAcentral
CGAACAAGAACGGAACCGCGAACGGCCAACACAUAGAUACAGAACACCAGGCGAAGCGCACUACUCGGAUAACCGUAGCAAUACUAGGGCUAAUACAUGAGAAAGACCUCUGGUGAGGAGUGUUUAUUAGAAUGAAAACCAUAUGCUUCGGCAGUAUAGUGAGUAAUAGUAACCUAUCGUAUCGCAUGCUUAAAGUAGCGAUGAGUCUUUCAAGUUUCUGCCCUAUCAGCUUUCGAUGGUAGUAUAUGGGCCUACCAUG